Molecule: ribosomal RNA, 256 nt
Filed under: uncultured bacterium
Lineage: Bacteria
Description: partial 16S ribosomal RNA
Rfam family: Bacterial small subunit ribosomal RNA
Source: RNAcentral
GACGAGGGGUCCUAGCGUUGUUCGGAAUCAUUGGGCGUAAAGCGUGUGUAGGUGGCCAUCCAAGUCAGUUGUGAAAGCCCCGGGCUACCAACCCGGGGAAGUGCUUCUGAUACUGUUUGGCUUGAGUACUGGAGAGGAUAGUAGAAUUCCUGGUGUAGUGGUGAAAUGCGCAGAUAUCAGGAGGAACACCGGUGGCGAAGGCGGGUCUCUGGGCCGAUACUGACGCUGAGGAGCGAAAGCGUGGGGAGCGAACAGG